AUACGGGGGGUGCAAGCGUUAAUCGGAAUUACUGGGCGUAAAGCGCGCGUAGGCGGUCUGCUCAGUCGGAUGUGAAAGCCCAGGGCUCAACCUUGGGACUGCAUACGAUACGGGCAAACUAGAGUGUGAGAGAGGAUAGUAGAAUUUCCGGUGUAGCGGUGAAAUGCGUAGAUAUAGGAAGGAACAUCAGUGGCGAAGGCGACUGUCUGGCUCAACACUGACGCUGAGGUGCGAAAGCGUGGGUAGCAAACAGGAUUAGAAACCCUAGUAGUCC
Molecule: ribosomal RNA, 274 nt
Filed under: uncultured bacterium
Lineage: Bacteria
Description: partial 16S ribosomal RNA
Rfam family: Bacterial small subunit ribosomal RNA
Source: RNAcentral